RNAcentral lists this ribosomal RNA (253 nucleotides) under uncultured bacterium. RNAcentral describes it as "partial 16S ribosomal RNA". It matches the Rfam family "Bacterial small subunit ribosomal RNA", at positions 524 to 776 of the family's 1533-position model. The record is from RNAcentral.
UACGGGGGGGGUAAGCGUUGUUCGGAAUUACUGGGCGUAAAGGGCUCGUAGGCGGCCAACUAAGUCAUACGUGAAAUCCCUCAGCUUAACUGGGGAACUGCGUGUGAUACUGGAUGGCUUGGAUUUGGGAGAGGGAUGCGGAAUUCCAGGUGUAGCGGUGAAAUGCGUAGAUAUCUGGAGGAACACCGGUGGCGAAGGCGGCAUCCUGGACCAAUAUUGACGCUGAGGAGCGAAAGCCAGGGGAGCAAACGAG